GGGGCGGUAGCACAGCCGGUUAGUGCAUCGGACUCAUAAUCUGACGGUCGCGGGUUCGAGCCCCGCCCGCCCCACCA
Molecule: transfer RNA, 77 nt
Filed under: Propionibacteriaceae bacterium
Lineage: Bacteria; Bacillati; Actinomycetota; Actinomycetes; Propionibacteriales; Propionibacteriaceae
Also listed under: 2 other names
Description: tRNA-Ile
Rfam family: tRNA
About the family: Transfer RNA (tRNA) molecules are approximately 80 nucleotides in length.
Source: RNAcentral